Long non-coding RNA from Ananas comosus (pineapple), 1505 nucleotides. RefSeq lists it as uncharacterized. Lineage: Eukaryota; Viridiplantae; Streptophyta; Magnoliopsida; Poales; Bromeliaceae. The record is from RefSeq and is a predicted model, not a curated record. The transcript has 7 exons.
UGUGUGGCUUAGGGUUUUUUUGGUCUUUUGGCUUUUGUUCUUAUCCCCACAGAGCCAAUUCGACCCCUGAGGAUACCAGAAGGGUGCUGGAGUUUAGGGGAUAAGGGUUUGGGUCUUUUUAGCUUUCUCUCUCUAGAUUUCUCUCUCUUAAUGCAAGAAAUGGUGGAUUUGGACUUAAUCUCUUUGCCUACUUGAUGCUGGCUGUUGUGGGAAGGCUUGGAGUUAGCUGUGGAAGAAGGAAAGAAGUAAUUGAUUAGUGUUCUUCGAGCUUACUGCCAGGAAGUGCAGAGGAAGAGCUAUAGAAAGCCGAGUAAGAGAGAAGGUUCAGCAGCGAGAGAAGAGCUUUUAAGUGGUGACUUCUCUACAUUAAUCUCGUAAAGAGCUGAAUUGGGGCUUCGGAAAAAAGUCAUGGUUAUCACUUGAGCUGAGAUUACAACUUGGGUGAGUUAAUUAGAAGUGCUUCAAUCCUCAGGGAGCUGGAAUUUCAAGUGAAGAAGCAGGUUUGGGACUUGAUUCCAGCAGCUAGAGAGGAGUUAUCUAGCUGUGAUUUAUCCACUUUAAUCUAGGGAAAAGCUGCUUUGAAGCUUGAUAAAGCGGGUUUCCGAAUCACUCUGAGCUAAUUGGUGACCUUGGGAACUGGUUUGGAAAAUAUUUCAACUAAGGCGAGGGUGCAACCGCCCUGUGAAUCAUCUUCCAUUGACAUUGGAGAGCCUUUAGAGGUUAAAUUGGAGCAAGGUUGAGGCCUACCUGAGCUGAAUUUCGGGACUCUUUUGGGCUGAAUCGAACUUAGUGCUAGGUCGGUCGGACCUAACCAGAGCAAGUGAACUCCUUCUAUGUUCAUUAUGAAGCUAUAUAACUACGAAUUAGACAUAAUUAUGUGAAUCAUGAAUGAUUGCCUUCUCUUUGAGUUUAAAUGCAUAAACAAUAAAUAAUGAUGCUAUCAAUGUAUGUCUCGGUUAAGAGUAUGUUCAAACAUUGUCAUUGACUAGUAGUUGAUGCAAGUGACAAAUGGAAUUGUAUAGUUCUUUUAUCUAGUCACUUAAUCUGGUGGAUACUAACAUGCUAUGCUGAAAUCCGACCUAAAGGUCGAGGGUAAGAACCUUAUAUAUGUUUAGAGAUGACAAUUGAGAAUUGUUAACUAUUAAUUACAUUUGCUUGCCAUUGUGCUCAUUCGCAUAUGCUUGUGAUGGUCGCUCCCUACAAGCCGGCACUCCGGAGUUGGCCUACGCGACAGUUGCUCGCCCGUGCGAGAUUGGGUGUCGAAGUGGAUUGCCGUGGGGAGUGUAUACUACCACGGGGCCAUUAGGCGCGGCGCAAGCUGGACUACCUUGAGUAGAUCCCUGUGAAUAAAAGAAAAGUGCUAAAGGGAAUUGGACAGUAAUGAAUGAUUACCAGUUACAGUGUACAGUAGUUACUUACACAUUUAUGCUUAUGUUCAUGCUUAUAAGCUUCUAUUAUUCAGUUGAUUCAUUACUAUUGAGACUAUGAUUAUAUGUUGCUUACAU